UGGGGAAUAUUGGACAAUGGGCGCAAGCCUGAUCCAGCAAUGCCGCGUGUGUGAAGAAGGCCUUCGGGUUGUAAAGCACUUUUAUCAGGAGCGAAACGCUGUCGGCUAAUACCCGGCGGAACUGACGGUACCUGAGGAAUAAGCACCGGCUAACUUCGUGCCAGCAGCCGCGGUAAUACGAAGGGUGCAAGCGUUAAUCGGAAUUACUGGGCGUAAAGCAUGCGUAGGCGGUUUCUUAAGUCUGCUGUGAAAUCCCCGGGCUCAACCUGGGAAUGGCAGUGGAUACUGGGAGGCUAGAGUGUGUCAGAGGGUGGUGGAAUUCCCGGUGUAGCGGUGAAAUGCGUAGAGAUCGGGAGGAACAUCAGUGGCGAAGGCGGCCACCUGGGACAACACUGACGCUGAGGCACGAAAGCGUGGGGAGCAAACAGGAUUAGAUACCCUGGUAGUCCACGCCCUAAAGCGAUGCGAACUGGAUGUUGGUCUCAACUCGGAGAUCAGUGUCGAAGCUAACGCGUUAAGUUCGCCGCCUGGGGAGUACGGUCGCAAGACUGAAACUCAAAUGAAUUGACGGGGUCAUAGCUGUUUCCUG
RNAcentral lists this ribosomal RNA (589 nucleotides) under uncultured bacterium. Its description in RNAcentral is "partial 16S ribosomal RNA". It matches the Rfam family "Bacterial small subunit ribosomal RNA", at positions 355 to 1376 of the family's 1533-position model. The record is from RNAcentral.